AGGGCUGUGGCUCAGUGGUAGAGUGCUCAUCUAGCACAUGUGAGACACUAGGUUCGAUCCUCAGCACCACUU
RNAcentral lists this transfer RNA (72 nucleotides) under Marmota monax (woodchuck). It matches the Rfam family "tRNA". Rfam says of the family: Transfer RNA (tRNA) molecules are approximately 80 nucleotides in length. Their secondary structure includes four short double-helical elements and three loops (D, anti-codon, and T loops). Lineage: Eukaryota; Metazoa; Chordata; Mammalia; Rodentia; Sciuridae. The record is from Rfam by way of RNAcentral.